GUCUUGGUGGUGAAAUGGUAGACACAAUUGAUUCAAAAUCAAUUGCUAAUAGCGUGGAGGUUCAAAUCCUCUUCAAGACA
RNAcentral lists this transfer RNA (80 nucleotides) under Lotharella vacuolata. RNAcentral's name for it is "tRNA-Leu". It matches the Rfam family "tRNA". From Rfam's summary of the family: Transfer RNA (tRNA) molecules are approximately 80 nucleotides in length. Their secondary structure includes four short double-helical elements and three loops (D, anti-codon, and T loops). Lineage: Eukaryota; Cercozoa; Chlorarachniophyceae. The record is from RNAcentral.